GCGAAAGCGAGUUUUAACUGAGCGUUCAGUUACUUGACGUAGACCCGAAACCGGGCGACCUACCCAUGAGCAGGAUGAAGCGAAAGUAAAAUUUCGUGGAGGUCCGAACCCACGAGCGUUGAAAAGCCCGGGGAUGACUUGUGGGUAGCGGUGAAAUUCCAAUCGAGCCCGGAGAUAGCUGGUUCUCCCCGAAAUAGCUUUAGGGCUAGCCUCAAGGUGAGAGAUACGGAGGUAGAGCACUGAAUGUCCUAGGGG
Molecule: ribosomal RNA, 255 nt
Filed under: Clostridioides difficile
Lineage: Bacteria; Bacillati; Bacillota; Clostridia; Peptostreptococcales; Peptostreptococcaceae
Description: partial 23S ribosomal RNA
Rfam family: Bacterial large subunit ribosomal RNA
Source: RNAcentral